This 1020-nucleotide ribosomal RNA is filed under the name Burkholderia sp. G5. RNAcentral's name for it is "bacterial SSU rRNA". It matches the Rfam family "Bacterial small subunit ribosomal RNA", at positions 30 to 1045 of the family's 1533-position model. Lineage: Bacteria; Pseudomonadati; Pseudomonadota; Betaproteobacteria; Burkholderiales; Burkholderiaceae. The record is from RNAcentral.
UGAACGCUGGCGGCAUGCCUUACACUUGCAAGUCGAACGGCAGCACGGGAGCAAUCCUGGUGGCGAGGGCGAACGGGUGAGUAAUACAUCGGAACGUGUCCUGUAGUGGGGGAUAGCCCGGCGAAAGCCGGAUUAAUACCGCAUACGCUCUACGGAGGAAAGGGGGGGAUCUUAGGACCUCUCGUUAUAGGGGCGGCCGAUGGCAGAUUAGCUAGUUGGUGGGGUAAAGGCCUACCAAGGCGACGAUCUGUAGCUGGUCUGAGAGGACGACCAGCCACACUGGGACUGAGACACGGCCCAGACUCCUACGGGAGGCAGCAGUGGGGAAUUUUGGACAAUGGGCGCAAGCCUGAUCCAGCAAUGCCGCGUGUGUGAAGAAGGCCUUCGGGUUGUAAAGCACUUUUGUCCGGAAAGAAAACCUCUGCCCUAAUAUGGUGGGGGGAUGACGGUACCGGAAGAAUAAGCACCGGCUAACUACGUGCCAGCAGCCGCGGUAAUACGUAGGGUGCAAGCGUUAAUCGGAAUUACUGGGCGUAAAGCGUGCGCAGGCGGUUCGCUAAGACAGAUGUGAAAUCCCCGGGCUUAACCUGGGAACUGCAUUUGUGACUGGCGGGCUAGAGUAUGGCAGAGGGGGGUAGAAUUCCACGUGUAGCAGUGAAAUGCGUAGAGAUGUGGAGGAAUACCGAUGGCGAAGGCAGCCCCCUGGGCCAAUACUGACGCUCAUGCACGAAAGCGUGGGGAGCAAACAGGAUUAGAUACCCUGGUAGUCCACGCCCUAAACGAUGUCAACUGGUUGUCGGGCCUUCAUUGGCUUGGUAACGUAGCUAACGCGUGAAGUUGACCGCCUGGGGAGUACGGUCGCAAGAUUAAAACUCAAAGGAAUUGACGGGGACCCGCACAAGCGGUGGAUGAUGUGGAUUAAUUCGAUGCAACGCGAAAAACCUUACCUACCCUUGACAUGGUCAGGACCCUGCUGAGAGGCGGGGGUGCCCGAAAGGGAACUGAUACACAGGUGCUGCA